AACGAACGCUGGCGGCAUGCCUAACACAUGCAAGUCGAACGAAGGCUUCGGCCUUAGUGGCGCACGGGUGCGUAACGCGUGGGAAUCUGCCCUUUGCGUCGGUAUACCAGCUGGAAACGGCUGCUAAUACCGGAUGAUGACGACAGACCAAAGAUUUAUCGCCAGAGGAUGAGCCCGCGUUGGAUUAGGUAGUUGGUGGGGUAAAGGCCUACCAAGCCGACGAUCCAUAGCUGGUCUGAGAGGAUGAUCAGCCACACUGGGACUGAGACACGGCCCAGACUCCUACGGGAGGCAGCAGUGGGGAAUAUUGGACAGUGGGCGCGAGCGUGAUCCAGCAAUGCCGCUUGAGAGAUGAAGGCGCUAGGGUUGUAAAGCUCUUUUACCCGGGAAGAGAAUGACGGUACCGGGAGAAGAAGCCCCGGCUAACUCCGUG
Molecule: ribosomal RNA, 433 nt
Filed under: uncultured bacterium
Lineage: Bacteria
Description: partial 16S ribosomal RNA
Rfam family: Bacterial small subunit ribosomal RNA
Source: RNAcentral